This 70-nucleotide transfer RNA is filed under the name Borassodendron machadonis. RNAcentral's name for it is "tRNA-Cys". It matches the Rfam family "tRNA". Rfam says of the family: Transfer RNA (tRNA) molecules are approximately 80 nucleotides in length. Lineage: Eukaryota; Viridiplantae; Streptophyta; Magnoliopsida; Arecales; Arecaceae. The record is from RNAcentral.
GGCGGCAUGGCCAAGUGGUAAGGCGGGGGACUGCAAAUCCUUUAUCCCCAGUUCAAAUCCGGGUGUCGCC